CCCUGAAGUGCUGGUAUUCUUUUCAUUUGGGGCCCAUCAGCAACAGACUCUCCUGGAGUGUAGGAGCUAUUCUGCUAUUCAUCUUGCUAGGGGCUGGGAAUACAGAGGGCAGCCACAUGCCUCUAACACAAUUCAGUUCAACAAACUUGUAUUAAGGGUCUGCUACAUGCAGAGCACUCUUUAGAUUCUGGAAUUACGAAGGCAAAAAUGAAAAACAGUUACUAUCCCUUAUAAAUUUACUGGUUAGGAGGUUGACAUGCAAACUCAAAUUAAUAACAGCAGCAUUAGUUAUUCAUAGGACACUUUAAAGUUUGAAAAACACUUUGCAAAUUGUAUCGUAUUUGAAUCUCACAGCAAUGCUGUGAAGUAGGUGCUGUGGAUUCAUAUUAUUUUCACUUUACAGAUGAAGAAAGCAAGACUCGUACAAGCCAGGAAGAGAAAAGAGCAAGGGAUUAGAGAGGGAGGGAUCCUCUCUAGCUGGGGGACCGCCAAAGAUGACUUGGAAGAGAUGGUGCCUGAGCAGAAAGAGGGUUACCCUGGGAGCCUGGAGACCUCUACCUCUAAUGGC
This 568-nucleotide long non-coding RNA is filed under the name Phascolarctos cinereus (koala). RNAcentral's name for it is "lncRNA (ENSPCIG00000036921.1)". The record is from RNAcentral. Lineage: Eukaryota; Metazoa; Chordata; Mammalia; Diprotodontia; Phascolarctidae.